RNAcentral lists this ribosomal RNA (430 nucleotides) under uncultured Pseudomonas sp. RNAcentral's name for it is "bacterial SSU rRNA". It matches the Rfam family "Bacterial small subunit ribosomal RNA", at positions 952 to 1382 of the family's 1533-position model. The record is from RNAcentral. Lineage: Bacteria; Pseudomonadati; Pseudomonadota; Gammaproteobacteria; Pseudomonadales; Pseudomonadaceae.
CGAAGCAACGCGAAGAACCUUACCAGGCCUUGACAUGCAGAGAACUUUCCAGAGAUGGAUUGGUGCCUUCGGGAACUCUGACACAGGUGCUGCAUGGCUGUCGUCAGCUCGUGUCGUGAGAUGUUGGGUUAAGUCCGUAACGAGCGCAACCCUUGUCCUUAGUUACCAGCACGUUAUGGUGGGCACUCUAAGGAGACUGCCGGUGACAAACCGGAGGAAGGUGGGGAUGACGCCAAGUCAUCAUGGCCCUUACGGCCUGGGCUACACACGUGCUACAAUGGUCGGUACAAAGGGUUGCCAAGCCGCGAGGUGGAGCUAAUCCCAUAAAACCGAUCGUAGUCCGGAUCGCAGUCUGCAACUCGACUGCGUGAAGUCGGAAUCGCUAGUAAUCGUGAAUCAGAAUGUCACGGUGAAUACGUUCCCGGGCCUU